CAUACCCGGGGGCAGGGGGGGGCCGUGGCCCCCCCCUAGCUUUCAGGGAAGGAAAAAAAAUAGUGUAGUCAGGUGCUUUACUUUAAAGAAAAUUAUUUAAAUUCGGUAUUAUGUAGAAGUGGUUCAACACGAAGAUAUUAUUGUAUAUCGUUUUUUACAUGUCUGCUUCAUUUUUUAUGUUAGUUCAAGCAUUAGUUUCUGCCGCUGCGAUAUAAGGUGUUGUGUACAGGGAGAAAACGCUGUUCAAGCGCAACGCCCGUGGCGAGUCAUUCCCCUUCGUAAUGCUACCCAAGCUCACGCGAUAACACAACACAACAGAUUUAGAACAGUCAGAGUUUAGACGACGCGACAGUUGACACGUGCUUGUAGACGGCGAAAUGUUUUGCUACUUUUUCGUCAUAAUGUGUAUGUUCACAAAUAACAUCUCAAAACAGAGAUUUUUCAAUAGUCUUUAGGUCUACAGUUUUAUGCAUCUGGUCUAGAUUUAGUUUAGUGUAUUCAGUCAGUAUAAAUAACUUAAGUGUAAAUAAAUCAGUGAAAGUGUUAUUAUGUAGUGUUUCUUAGAUUUCCUCAUUCGUCACAUCCGUUCAGAUUAUUCACAAUUUUUAAGGUAAGCUAACACCUUUAAAGUUACUCAAAUAAGAAUUAUUGUCCAGAAAAGUCUACAACGUAAAAUUUAUGUUGGAAUUUUGAAUUUGAGGAAAACCACUUUUUCCCUUCAAAAGUGUUUAAAGGGAUAAGGAUUCCGCUACCUUCAGUAGACUCGUAAGCAAUUUACACUAGAAUCUCGAUUUUACGUACGCUCACGGUCGCUUGGAUUGCAUUCGUAAAAUCGUUAUCUUCAUAAAAUUUUAAACACCCCACCCCGUGAAGAUACAUGUUAUAAUUUAUUGAACGGAAUAUAUAUAAUAUUAAAUAGUAAAAACAAGACUGCCAUCUGCCCUCUGCCCUCCCUUGCGUUCCCCUUAUUUUUUUUUAACAUUCCACAACUUGCCUCAUUGCAUAGUGACAUCACAGCGACUAAACACAGUUGCACCACGCAUUGCAUCAUGUUAACUUUUGUGUGGUGACAGUAGGUUGUCCGACAUGCCUUUCUUGGAUAUCUUUCCUUUUCGUAAGACGCGUGCUACUAAAAUAAAUUUAUAUUUGAGUUUGCAAACUUGUUCACUCCUUGCCAGAGACAACUGAAAACAGACGAGACUUUCCAGGGUUAGGUUGAUGAGCUGGAAGAAUUCCCUGCCUUGCAUUUUUAUGGACUUCACCUUAUCAUAUUUAUCAGUUAAUCUUUAACAGAUAGGCUUGAAGAAUAUGAAUGAACGCACUUUUAGUAACAUAAUCGAGGAGAUCAAGCACACAGUUCAGUGUACACCUGUACUGUUUCAUAAAAGUGAUCAUAGGUAGGGACUGAAAAAAUUCGCGGUUUCAAUGACCACUCGGAUAGACUCCACGAUUCUCUAUGUACUCGGGCAACUAUCACCUGGUCAUUGGCUACCGACUCGGGACACCUGUUUAUUGCGAUUCUUAUGAUUCGAUACUUCUUUAGUUGAGUCUUUGCCAUUGGCCUAGAGUCCUUCAGGUAAAUUGCGGUCCAAUCACUGACGCAGCAUUAAGCUAAAUGAGUUUGGAUUCCAGCCUGUCUUGAAAGGAAUCCGCGAAUUUUUACUGUCUCUAAUCAUAGGCUUAUUUGGUGAAGAAAAACGCUGCUCUGUAACGACAGACAUUCAUUAAAAACACAGUACAUUUUAGUGCGAGAAGCCCUUGAAUUUGUGAUAGCCACAGGGAAUUAUUUGUUUGUAUAGUAAGUUAAAAAAAACUUAGUUGAAAAUUCGCUCGUCACGUCUACUUGCUGUCAGUUAUACCAUUUUUGAGCGUUUUUUACUGGGAAACCGAUGCAGCGAAGGUAAUGAAUGCGACACAUGUCAAGAUAAUGCCUAAUGGCAUGGGUUGUUGGAUAUUAGCGGAAAGGAGAGGAAGUAGCUACUCAAUAUCGUUUCUUUCUCUCACGCUUCACAAGGUUUCAAGCUCAGUUGCUAUGCUCACGAGCUGGAAAUGUUGGAAUGACUAAAGACUGCUCAAAUGUGAAAGUCACAGGGACAAGGUUCAAAUUACAUUAUGGACAGUGAACUACAAGGAAAGCACUUAUGGUACAGCUUGACAUCGUCCGGGCCUGCGGGCCCUUUUUGAGUCCGAUAUGCCACCGCCCAAACACCACCAUCUCUGUUCAAACCUCCCACUUGCGCGUGCGUGUGUGUGUGUGUUGAUCGCCCGGCAAGAGGGCGCUGUCGAGCCAGUGCACCGCACCCCUAAAUAUAAUUGAAUUCAACAGUGUAAAUUGUUUUAUUGUUCCCCGAGUGUGACGUGACGGCUGAUCGGCCAGGAGGUUUUUAUGUACUUUUAUUUAAAAUUGUGUAAUUAAAUAUAAGGGCGUUUCCGGACAUUCCUGAAGCACACCGAACGAAACGGAAGCCAGACACUGUUUAAAUAUAUUCUUUAAUAAUUGUAAUUUUUAUUAUCCUUUUUUUUUAUAUUCAGUAAAUAUUAUGUAAUUUUUUAAGAAUCCUUUUCAUGUUGGUUUAGUUUCCCGUGGCACGAAAUCAGAAAUACCAUUAACGGCAAUUGUUUCGGCGGGAGGACGCCAUGUUAGUCGAGCCGAGCCAUGAGCUCAACCCAGUCUUCCGCCAUCAACGACCGAGAGCAGACGCUUCAGCACUCCGGGGACCUCACCGCUUGUUCAUCACUGCUUAGUAAUACUGUUCAUCUUUAAUUCUUUUCAAAUAUUUUUUCGUUUAGUCCUCGGAGCUUCUUUCGGUCGGGGGACUGCUUAAAUAAUUACCUUGUGACCAUUAUCAGUCUUUUCUCAAACUUUAUGCGUAAGUCAAGGUGUGACCACGUGGUUGGUCACUGCACUUAAACUGAUUCGUGCCGCGGGCGUUUGUUACAGUUUAAAUUGUAUGCGUGUGUAAUCGGAUUGGCCGAAUAAAUAAGGGCAUGUAAAUUUAAA
Long non-coding RNA from Bacillus rossius redtenbacheri, 3001 nucleotides. RefSeq lists it as uncharacterized. NCBI's taxonomy places the organism in Eukaryota, Metazoa, Arthropoda, Insecta, Phasmatodea, Bacillidae. The transcript is spliced from 2 exons. The record is from RefSeq and is a predicted model, not a curated record.